RNAcentral lists this unclassified non-coding RNA (337 nucleotides) under soil metagenome. Its description in RNAcentral is "partial contains 5.8S ribosomal RNA, internal transcribed spacer 2, and large subunit ribosomal RNA". The stretch from base 1 to 120 matches the Rfam family "5.8S ribosomal RNA", at positions 35 to 154 of the family's 154-position model. The record is from RNAcentral.
GAUGAAGAACGUAGCGAAAUGCGAUAAGUAGUGUGAAUUGCAGAAUUCAGUGAAUCAUCGAAUCUUUGAACGCACAUUGCGCCCCUUGGUAUUCCAUGGGGCAUGCCUGUUCGAGCGUCAUUUGUACCUUCAAGCUCUGCUUGGUGUUGGGUGUUUGUCUCGCCUCUGCGUGUAGACUCGCCUUAAAACAAUUGGCAGCCGGCGUAUUGAUUUCGGAGCGCAGUACAUCUCGCGCUUUGCACCCAUAACGACGACGUCCAAAAGUACAUUUUUACACUCUUGACCUCGGAUCAGGUAGGGAUACCCGCUGAACUUAAGCAUAUCAAUAAGCGGAGGA